ACCCGCUGAACUUAAGCAUAUCAGUAAGCGGAGGAAAAGAAACUAACUAGGAUUCCCCGAGUAGCGGCGAGCGAAAGGGGAGAAGCCCAGCGCCGAAGCCCGCGUGCUCACGCGCGCAGUGCAAUGUGGCGUUUCGGUGGCGGCUCGCCGCGACUUCUCUGGCACGCGUACCUCUGAAUGGGUCUGCCCGCAGCGGGUGUCAGGCCUCUACUUGCCGAGUGAGUCGUCGCGGCCCGUCGUCAUCGCGGAGUCGGGUUGCUUGAGAGUGCAGCCCAAAGUGGGUGGUAAGCUCCAUCUAAGGCUAAAUACCUAGUGCGAGACCGAUAGCAAACAAGUACCGUGAGGGAAAGUUGCAAAGAACUUUGAAAAGAGAGUUCAAGAGUACGUGAAACCGUUCAGAGGCAAACGGACGGAACUGGGCGAGUUCGCCGUCGUCAUUCAGCCGUCGCCCCCGGGCGGCGGUGCACUUGGCGGCGGCGGAGCGCGACGACCGCCUGCCCGGGUCGUCGGAAGCCCGGCGGCAAGGUGGCGACGCGUUCGCGCGUCGUGUUACAGGCCGCCGAGGCGUUGGCUGACCUGGCGGGCGAGGAGCGCCUGCGGUGCACUCCCCCGCGCGGGGAGUGGCUCGACGCGGUGGGCUUGCGGACGCCGGCGACGAACUGCUCGCAGUUUGAUGUCGCGCGCUCCGUCUGUCGCGCCGCGCGGUGCCACGGGGCACCCAGGGUCCGGGUCGUGUGGUUCCUGGCACUCCGUCCGACCCGUCUUGAAACACGGACCAAGGAGUUGAGCACGCGCGCGAGUCGAUGGGCUCUACGAACCCCAGUGGCGCAGCUAAGGCAAAACGGGCGUGAUCCGGCACUGGCGUGUCGGCGCAACGCCGGCCCGCAGCCGACUCGAUGCGAGUGGCUGCGGCGCAAGAGCGCGCGUGCUCAGACCCGAAAGGUGGUGAACUAUGCUUGAGCAGGGCGAAGCCAGAGGAAACUCUGGUGGAGGCUCGCAGCGAUCCUGACGUGCAAAUCGGUCGUCAAACUUGAGCAUAGGGGCGAAAGACUAAUCGAACCGCCUAGUAGCUGGUUCCCUCCGAAGUUUCCCUCAGGAUAGCUGGCACUCGGGAUAAAUGGUUUUAUCCGGUAAAGCGAAUGAUUAGAGGCAUUGGGGACGAAACGUCCUCAACCUAUUCUCAAACUUUAAAUGGGUAAGAGGCGCGACCCUUCCUGAUCGGGGUCGCGUGCUUGAACAGAGAGUGCCCAGUGGGCCGUUUUUGGUAAGCAGAACUGGCGCUGUGGGAUGAACCAAACGCGCGGUUAGGGUGCCUAACGCACGCUCAUGAGAUACCACAAAAGGUGUUGGUUGAUAUAGACAGCAGGACGGUGGCCAUGGAAGUCGGAAUCCGCUAAGGAGUGUGUAACAACUCACCUGCCGAAUCAACUAGCCCUGAAAAUGGAUGGCGCUGGAGCGUGCGACCCAUACCGCGCCGUCGGGGCAACGCGUGCGAAAUGCCAGGCCCCGACGAGUAGGAGGGCGUGUCGGUGGCGUUGAAGCGUAGUGCGCGAGCACGCGUGGAGCCGCCUUCAGUGCAGAUCUUGGUGGUAGUAGCAAGUAUACAAAUGAGAACUUUGUAGACCGAAGUGGAGAAGGGUUCCAUGUGAACAGCAGUUGGACAUGGGUCAGUCGGCCCUAAGAGAUCGGAGAAUUCCGUUCUGAACGGGGAGUGAAGACGCGCACUCCGAGCAGGCGGUGAGCGGCGGCCCGGCGUUCGUCUGAACCAGGUGGCAGAGCGGCGCGCGAGGCCGACCGCACGAGCAAUCACCGACCUCUCACACACACAACGUGCACGCACGCACGCGCCACGCGGUGGCGAAAAGGGUGCGCGGAAGGGUCGCCCCGAUGCGAUCGAAAGGGAAUCGGGUUAAUAUUCCCGAACCUGGCAGUGGAGAUUGGGCCCUCGGGCCCCAGUGCGGUAACGCAACCGAACUCGGAGACGCCAGCGUCGAUCCCGGGAAGAGUUCUCUUUUCUUUGUUAGGAGCGGACUCCCUGGAAUUGGCUUGUCCAGAGAUAGGGACGUUGCAUCCGUAAAGCGUCGCGCCUCACGCGGCGUCCGGUGCAUCGGCGUUGGCCCUUGAAAAUCCGAGGAAGGCAGUGUAAUUUUCACUCCAGGCCGUACCCGAAUCCGCAGCAGGUCUCCAAGGUGCACAGCCUCUGGUCGAUAGAACAAUGUAGGUAAGGGAAGUCGGCAAAUCCGAUCCGUAACUUCGGGAUAAGGAUUGGCUCUGAGGUGCGGGCUGCUUCGGGUCGCGGCAAGAAGCGGACCGCGCGUUGGCUGGACUGGGCGCGCCUCGGCGCGCUCGGACCGCCGCCAGCGCGCGUCCGUGGGAGGCCGUGGCUUUCGCCGGCGUCGGCCUGUGCCGGCGUCGGCUUCGUUCGGCCUAAACGCACAGCACAGAACUGGCACGGACUCUGGGAACACGACUGUCUAAUUAAAACAAAGCAUCGCGAUGGCCGCUGGUCGGUGUUGACGCGAUGUGAUUUCUGCCCAGUGCUUUGAAUGUCAAAGUGAAGAAAUUCAACCAAGCGCAGGUAAACGGCGGGAGUAACUAUGACUCUCUUAAGGUAGCCAAAUGCCUCGUCAUCUAAUUAGUGACGCGCAUGAAUGGAUUAACGAUGUUCCCACUGUCCCUAUCUACUAUCUAGCGAAACCACAGCCAAGGGAACGGGCUUGGCAAAUACAGCGGGGAAAG
RNAcentral lists this ribosomal RNA (2739 nucleotides) under Chiastosella splendida. RNAcentral describes it as "partial large subunit ribosomal RNA". It matches the Rfam family "Eukaryotic large subunit ribosomal RNA", at positions 23 to 2406 of the family's 3401-position model. Lineage: Eukaryota; Metazoa; Bryozoa; Gymnolaemata; Cheilostomatida; Escharinidae. The record is from RNAcentral.